GAUGAACGCUGGCGGCGUGCCUAAUACAUGCAAGUCGAGCGAACAGAUGAGGAGCUUGCUCCUCUCACGUUACCGGCGGACGGGUGAGUAACACGUGGAUAACCUACCUAUAAGACUGGGAUAACUUCGGGAAACCGGAGCUCAUACCGGAUAAUAUAUUUAACCGCAUGGUUCAAUAGUGUAAGACGGUUUUGCUGUCACUUCUACAUGGCUCCGCGCCGCAUUAGCUAGUUGGUAAGGUAACGGCUUACGAAGGCGACGAUGCGUAGCCGAACUGAGAAGGGGAUCGGCGACACUGGGACUGGAACACGAUCCAGACUCCGACGGGAGGCAGCAGUAGGGAAUCUUCCGCGAUGGGCGAAAGCCUGACGGAGCAACGCCGCGUGAGUGAUGAAGGUCUGCGGAUCGGAAAACUCUGUUAUGAGUGAAGAACAAAUGUGUAAGUAACUAUGCACGUCGUGACGGUACCUAGUCAGAAAGCCACGGCUAACUACGUG
Molecule: ribosomal RNA, 497 nt
Filed under: uncultured bacterium
Lineage: Bacteria
Description: partial 16S ribosomal RNA
Rfam family: Bacterial small subunit ribosomal RNA
Source: RNAcentral